This is a non-coding RNA of Prunus mume (Japanese apricot), 977 nucleotides long. The record is from RefSeq and is a predicted model, not a curated record. NCBI's taxonomy places the organism in Eukaryota, Viridiplantae, Streptophyta, Magnoliopsida, Rosales, Rosaceae.
GAGAAGAGAAGAGAGAACACAGCCUUGAGGCUGAAGGAAAAAAAUAAGGUGCAGUUCUUCUUCUACAAUGCUGCGAAAAUGAAGAGACCAAAGACAGCCAAUGAGCCAUCUGAUGUCCUCUUUUGUGAAAUAUUUCCGCCAUGCUUUUGACCAAUUCUCUUGAUCCUCAUAUGCCUUCAUCAAAUGGGUGGUCAUCCUUCAAUCAAAUGGGAAAUGGGUACAGAGCCUGCAUUGCUGUUGCUGUACAUAUAAUAUUUAAAACAUUGUACAUUGUACAUUUAUGAUGAUCAUGGGUCAAGGAAAGCUGUUGAUGACAUCAUUACAAAAGGUUUACAAUGAAAAGUUUUGCAGCAGCCCUUGUUCAGGUCAUGGAACGACAAGUGAGGAUGCAAUCACAUGUUGGCUGCUACAGACUUCUCCGGUGGUCAUGUAUCCCUUUCAGUAAACGCAUGUUUGCUUCAGUCUCGAAGAAUGCGUUGUGUAAAGUUGCCACAGUGCAGGCAUGCAUCAUUAAUUCAUGUUGUUUACUGCAGCCUGCAGGAUGAUGCAUUUUCAGAGCGUUUAGUCAAGGAAAUGAGGAGGAGAAGCUUGCAAUUUUUUCAGCUUUGGGUUUGUGGGCAGCAAGAUCUGCUGAUGCUAUUCAAUCAGAUGUAGUUUUGUUUUUCUCAUCUGGUCUUAAGGAGAAGGAAGCUCUAAGAAGAGGGCAUCUUCGUUGUCUACGAGCCAUUUGCAAAAACAGUACAGAUGCUGUUUUCCGAGUUAGCUGGUUGACUUGGCUGUGGUUUGGUGCACUUGUUCUUGACCAGGCUACUUCUUUCAUCUCUUUGGUGACAUUUGCUUUUUUUCACUUAAGAUAUCAUCAUUACUGGAACCUCUCAUCCAACUUGUCAAAACUGGUUUUACAAAAGCAGCUCAGCGUUUGGAUGAUAUAUAUGCCUUGCUAUUAGUUGUCAUGAAGAUUGCAGCUGUUGACAUCA